GAAAAUCUACAUGGCCUCACUUCUGUAGCUACAGACUCAUGGACAGGCUAGCUUCUUCUAUAAACCAACCAAACGCAUUACCAGAAUGGAAAAAGAAUGUAUAUUUCAUCAAACCAUUAACCAUUUCUCAUCUGUUUAUGUUUAACAGGAAACCACAUAUCAACUCAGCAUGCAAUAAAAUUAACAAGAAAGAAAAAUCUUAAGUAUAUGACUGAAGGUCUCACAAAGAUAAGACUGGUAAAUUUUCCUGCCGGCAGUAAAUCUUUAACACUUUGAACUCCGAUUACAAGACCAAACUGCCCGUCACAGGAAUUCCGUUAUUGCUUUGAUGUAAGCAAGAAAACCAACUAACCCAUCCUAUCUGAACCAACAACAUUUUGUAAGAAAAUAGAAUGAAAUAUGAACCCUUUAUAUGUCCAGUGAACAAAUGAAGAGCAACCAAGCCGAAUUGACCAUCAUCUGAAACUAUCCAGUUUUAUCGAUACUGGAUUUGAAAAAUGGUUUGGUAAAGUUAUAACUCUAUGUAGAUUUGGUAUUUAUCAACUCAAAAUACCUUAUACACCUUCAUUCUCCAUCCUGAGAAUGUGGUCAAAGAUCAGUUAAUGUUUCUGCAACACAUCACUGCACAAUCAAAUUUGGCAAUUUCAACAGAAUCACAAAUAGGAGAGCCAACAACAGAAGAUGUUAUGUGUUUCAACGUCCCUUGAGGCUCUCUCACUGCAGAACAUGACAAUGAACGAUGCCUCAUCAGUGGAUGAGAUGCCAAAAUAAGCUCAAAACUCAACCAUUUCCUCGAAGUCUAAACUUAGGGAGGAACAAAAGUUCAAAAAUCAUCACAUAUGAUUCUAGAGAGAUUCUCUGAGUGUCGGGGUUUAUAUCCCUACAAUGUAUUUUAUGGGGUUUAAUAGAAGUCCUCAAGUGUUCUCAGUCUGCCGUUUGAGCUUGAAAAUCAGCCAGAAUGCUUUUGGGUACUUUGCUUUGCACCACAACUUAUCCUAGUGAACAAAUCUCUGUCCAACUGCCUAGUGAGGCACACCUAUUUUGAGAACUAAAAGAGGUGCACAAACCUGCUUCACUGAUGUGCAUAAAUAUUGGGAACAUAAAUAAGAUAGAAAAUGAGCAAGAUUGGUGUGCUUCUUCUAUCUUCUUUCUUUUUUCCUUUUUUUUUUUGUGUGUGUGGUGGGGCGGGGUGGGCGGAACGAGAGGGUUUGGAUAAAGUUGAACAAGAAUGUCUGCAUAAAGUUUGUGUUGAUCAGUUUCCCACAGCCAACCUAUGAGAGUCUAAUGAUCCAAAAUCAAGGUGUCAAAUCUGAAAUCUAGCAAGUUACUCUGCACUUUAAGCAGUGAUAUGACCAUUUCGGUUCACAUCUUCUUCUCCAACAUUUAACCCCAAAAUGAUAUCUAUUAGAAAAUAAAAAUUUACACACCCCAUAACUGCAAUAGAAGACAUGAAAGGACAAUAUAAUGAGGUUUCAAAGAUAGGAGGUCCAGUCACCCAAGGCAUCCCUUUUUCUUUCUUGUAUUUUCCUUCCUCUUUUUCCCAAGGCAUCCUUUUCUUGUAUCUUCUUUUUUGUGAUCACAGUAAGAGGGACAUGACAUGAAAUUCAUCACAUCUAAAACCAAGAUGAUGGUGACCCCCUUCAUGUAGUUAUCACAGUCUUGGUUGACUUGGACAGAUUGUUACAUCCAACUUAAAUAAAAAGCAGAACUAAGAGACCACAAUAAAUUUCUAAUCCGAAAAGUUGGAGCAUCAAGCAAAAUGGAAAUUUCCUACUACCUCACCCUUCCCC
This 1790-nucleotide long non-coding RNA is filed under the name Phoenix dactylifera (date palm). RNAcentral describes it as "long non-coding RNA (PDAC_LNC002402)". Lineage: Eukaryota; Viridiplantae; Streptophyta; Magnoliopsida; Arecales; Arecaceae. The record is from RNAcentral.